This 270-nucleotide long non-coding RNA is filed under the name Musa acuminata (dwarf banana). RNAcentral describes it as "long non-coding RNA (MACU_LNC008167)". Lineage: Eukaryota; Viridiplantae; Streptophyta; Magnoliopsida; Zingiberales; Musaceae. The record is from RNAcentral.
UCACAAGGAAAAAUCAUGAUUCAUUUAGAAAAUCUCCUCUUAUAAAAAUAUCAAGUAGAAUCGUUGGAGAUCGAUUAACAAGAAAUUUUGAUUCAUAAUAAAAUCUCAUGUAUCGAAUGUCGAGAAAUCAAAAUGAUGAUUUAUAUAAAAAAUAUCACAAGUUAUAUUCAAGAGAAAAAUUAUCAUUCUUUUCCAACUCAUUCAAUUUGUCAAAUCAACAUUUCUUAGAUAUGUAUGAUACCAAAACAUGGUUUCAAAUGUUUGACAUAU